CUUUGGUGCCUUCGGGAACUCUGAGACAGGUGCUGCAUGGCUGUCGUCAGCUCGUGUUGUGAAAUGUUGGGUUAAGUCCCGCAACGAGCGCAACCCUUAUCCUUUGUUGCCAGCGAUUCGGUCGGGAACUCAAAGGAGACUGCCAGUGAUAAACUGGAGGAAGGUGGGGAUGACGUCAAGUCAUCAUGGCCCUUACGAGUAGGGCUACACACGUGCUACAAUGGCAUAUACAAAGAG
This 237-nucleotide ribosomal RNA is filed under the name Citrobacter werkmanii. Its description in RNAcentral is "partial 16S ribosomal RNA". It matches the Rfam family "Bacterial small subunit ribosomal RNA", at positions 1009 to 1246 of the family's 1533-position model. RNAcentral also lists the same sequence under 1 other name. The record is from RNAcentral. Lineage: Bacteria; Pseudomonadati; Pseudomonadota; Gammaproteobacteria; Enterobacterales; Enterobacteriaceae.